RNAcentral lists this transfer RNA (531 nucleotides) under uncultured Gammaproteobacteria bacterium. Its description in RNAcentral is "partial 16S-23S ribosomal RNA intergenic spacer". The stretch from base 112 to 185 matches the Rfam family "tRNA". Lineage: Bacteria; Pseudomonadati; Pseudomonadota; Gammaproteobacteria. The record is from RNAcentral.
CCUCCUUAAACGAUGUUGGCGCUACCUAAUGAGUGCUCACACAUUUGUCUUCAUCUAAUUCGGUUGAUGCGACGGUAUCGCCAGCUCGUCUGCGAGCGUUAUUUUUUUUGCAGGCCUGUAGCUCAGUUGGUUAGAGCGCACCCCUGAUAAGGGUGAGGUCGGCAGUUCAAAUCUGCCCAGGCCUACCAAACACGGUUUGGUUUACUUGGUAGACUUUGAGAUUGCUGGAAGGACUCCGGGGCUAUAGCUCAGCUGGGAGAGCGCCUGCCUUGCACGCAGGAGGUCAGCGGUUCGAUCCCGCUUAGCUCCACCAUCUUAUCCAAAGUGGAUAUAUUGCAUCAACGAGAUCAGAAAGAAGUCUGUUUCUAUAAGCAGGCUUCUUUCUGGUUUUUACAGCCGGAACGUUCUUUAACAANGGUAGAUUAAGCUGAAUCUUUGAGCUGACAUAAAGCACUUCGGUGAGUUAUGCGGUUCAUAGAUAAAUUGUUCUGUGAUGAUGGGUUCGAUUCCCUGUUGUCACAACGAGUUGUA